RNAcentral lists this transfer RNA (63 nucleotides) under China mantispoides. Its description in RNAcentral is "tRNA-Gly". The record is from RNAcentral. Lineage: Eukaryota; Metazoa; Arthropoda; Insecta; Orthoptera; Chorotypidae.
AUUUAUCUAGUAUAAUAAGUACAAUUAACUUCCAAUUAAUAAGUUUAACUAAAAUAAGAUAAA